RNAcentral lists this ribosomal RNA (690 nucleotides) under Bacillus sp. (in: firmicutes). RNAcentral describes it as "bacterial SSU rRNA". It matches the Rfam family "Bacterial small subunit ribosomal RNA", at positions 51 to 736 of the family's 1533-position model. The record is from RNAcentral. Lineage: Bacteria; Bacillati; Bacillota; Bacilli; Caryophanales; Bacillaceae.
AUACAUGCAAGUCGAGCGAGACUCUUCGGAGUCUAGCGGCGGACGGGUGAGUAACACGUGGGCAACCUGCCUGUAAGACUGGGAUAACACCGGGAAACCGGUGCUAAUACCGGAUAAUCCUUUUCCUCUCAUGAGGAAAAGCUGAAAGUCGGUUUCGGCUGACACUUACAGAUGGGCCCGCGGCGCAUUAGCUAGUUGGUGAGGUAACGGCUCACCAAGGCGACGAUGCGUAGCCGACCUGAGAGGGUGAUCGGCCACACUGGGACUGAGACACGGCCCAGACUCCUACGGGAGGCAGCAGUAGGGAAUCUUCCACAAUGGACGAAAGUCUGAUGGAGCAACGCCGCGUGAGCGAUGAAGGCCUUCGGGUCGUAAAGCUCUGUUGUUAGGGAAGAACAAGUACCGGAGUAACUGCCGGUACCUUGACGGUACCUAACCAGAAAGCCACGGCUAACUACGUGCCAGCAGCCGCGGUAAUACGUAGGUGGCAAGCGUUGUCCGGAAUUAUUGGGCGUAAAGCGCGCGCAGGCGGUCCUUUAAGUCUGAUGUGAAAGCCCACGGCUCAACCGUGGAGGGUCAUUGGAAACUGGGGGACUUGAGUGCAGAAGAGGAAAGCGGAAUUCCACGUGUAGCGGUGAAAUGCGUAGAGAUGUGGAGGAACACCAGUGGCGAAGGCGGCUUUCUGGUCUG